GCUUAAGUAGCUCAAUGGUAGAGCGUUAGGCUGAAAACCUAAAGGUUAUUGGUUCGAUUCCACUCUUAAGCA
Molecule: transfer RNA, 72 nt
Filed under: Uronema marinum
Lineage: Eukaryota; Ciliophora; Oligohymenophorea; Philasterida; Uronematidae
Description: tRNA-Phe
Rfam family: tRNA
About the family: Transfer RNA (tRNA) molecules are approximately 80 nucleotides in length. Their secondary structure includes four short double-helical elements and three loops (D, anti-codon, and T loops).
Source: RNAcentral